Molecule: ribosomal RNA, 253 nt
Filed under: uncultured bacterium
Lineage: Bacteria
Description: partial 16S ribosomal RNA
Rfam family: Bacterial small subunit ribosomal RNA
Source: RNAcentral
UACGGAGGGAGCUAGCGUUGUUCGGAAUCACUGGGCGUAAAGCGCGCGUAGGCGGCUUUGUAAGUUAGAGGUGAAAGCCCGGGGCUCAACCCCGGAAUUGCCUUUAAGACUGCAUCGCUUGAAUCCGGGAGAGGUGAGUGGAAUUCCGAGUGUAGAGGUGAAAUUCGUAGAUAUUCGGAAGAACACCAGUGGCGAAGGCGGCUCACUGGACCGGCAUUGACGCUGAGGUGCGAAAGCGUGGGGAGCAAACAGG